Molecule: ribosomal RNA, 474 nt
Filed under: Parmelia ernstiae
Lineage: Eukaryota; Fungi; Ascomycota; Lecanoromycetes; Lecanorales; Parmeliaceae
Description: SSU rRNA
Source: RNAcentral
CACUUGGAGGAUGUAUAGCAAUAGCUACUUGCAUCAUCAUUUUCUUCUUAAUUUUCUCUUUCCCCCAUACAAUACUUGUAUAGGGGGAAUCAGAGAAAAAUAAGGAGAAAAGUAAUGAUGAUGCAAGAUCGACUAUGUCGAAUAAAAUUCUAGGUAGAAUUAUGAUAAUGACAUUGUCUGCCUAUGUGUCUUGACCAAAUUACGUGCCAGCAGUCGCGGUAAUACGUAGAAGACUAGUGUUAUUCAUGUUUAAUCGGUUUAAAGGGUACCUAGACGGUAAAUCAAGCUUUCAAAGAAAAAGAAGACAAAAAUAAUAGUAUUGUGAUAAUUAAAGGACUAAUUUACUAGAGUUACUUAUGAGGGGGUAUUAAAGUACUGCUGGUGUAGAGAUGAAAUUCUGUCAUACCUCUUUUCAAAAGAAAAAUGAUGGCACAGGUAUAGGCGAAGGCAUCCCCUUAUGUGAUAACUGACGUU